RNAcentral lists this ribosomal RNA (328 nucleotides) under uncultured Allapsidae. Its description in RNAcentral is "SSU rRNA". The stretch from base 112 to 328 matches the Rfam family "Eukaryotic small subunit ribosomal RNA", at positions 738 to 955 of the family's 1831-position model. RNAcentral also lists the same sequence under 1 other name. Lineage: Eukaryota; Cercozoa; Glissomonadida; Viridiraptoridae. The record is from RNAcentral.
GAUUUCUGGUUUGGCGUGCCUGGCCCGCCACGGUUACGUGUGUGAGUGCCGGUGCAUGCCUGCCAUCCUUCUAACCGUACAGUUGACCCUUCACUGGGCACAGCUGAUAAACACAGUUAGAUCGUUUACUUUGAAAAAAUUAGAGUGUUCAAAGCAGGCAUAUCGCUAUGAAUACAUUAGCAUGGAAUAAUAAGUUAGGACUUCGGUUCUAUUUUGUUGGUUUCUAGGACUGAAGUAAUGAUUGAUAGGGAUAGUUGGGGGUGCUAGUAUUCAGUGGCCAGAGGUGAAAUUCUUGGAUUCACUGAAGACUAACUUUUGCGAAAGCAUU